Molecule: long non-coding RNA, 2017 nt
Filed under: Gallus gallus (chicken)
Lineage: Eukaryota; Metazoa; Chordata; Aves; Galliformes; Phasianidae
Description: long non-coding RNA NONGGAT009259
Source: RNAcentral
GUGCGCUCCUGCGGACUGCUCUGAAGUGGCAGGACCUGCAGCAGCAGAGCAGAAAUGCUCCCCAACACCUCACUCUGCUCCCCAGCACGCUCUGCUUGGGCUCUGCCAUUUUGCAGCCAUGCAUCAUAUCUGUCUGCGGCUCACAUGUGCGUGAUCUCCAUGGCGACUUGGGCACUCGAGGUAGAAAUAUGAGCUGCAUCAUCUCCCCCUGUUGUCCAUCGACAUAAAAUGCAGUGUUCUGGAACAUGAGAAAGGCAAUACGUUUCCUCCAGUUCUUUGUAAGCUGAUAUGAAGUAGACAGACACCUUCUGAAGUUUUGUGCAUGCUGUGCUCUUUUUUUCUUUGCUGCAACAAGAAAAGCCUUUUCUUUUAACCUGGCUUCCUUUGAAGAAGUAACUCAGGAAGCUUCAUGGCCUCUCAAGAAUCUCAAGGACAAACAAACCCAGUCUUUAAGGACUACCUCCCUGGUUCUUCUGACCUGCCAGAGCAGGACAAGCCUGCUGAGCCUGCAGGCCCAUGGAAGCAAGCCUCACAUACGCAUAACUUACCACCAGGGCUGGAGUACCUGAACCAGGUCCAGAAUCUUUCCUAAUGCUGGAACUGUUCUGUUUCAUCAUGGACUCCUUUGACAUUUGUGGGGUGGGGGUCUUUGGAGUUUUUUCUUGGGGAAGGUAAAUUAGAUAUGGAGAAGCGUUUCUGUUGUUUGACAUUUACUAUAAGGAAUGUACAAAUUAUAAGCUCUUCUUUCACUGCUGCUAUUCAUCUCUGCAGAAAUCUAUUUGCUGUGCAUGCAGCUCUCCUUGCCCUCAGAUGUGAUUUUAUUCUCUCUAGGACUUCUCCUAGGUCAUACUAUGACCCCUCUCACCGUCCCUCCAGUUUCCUUCCGGCUCCUUAAGGGCAACCACUGCCAAACCCUGGCUGACCUCAGAACUCGUCUGGUUGACUAAAACCAGCAGCGUGUUAGGGAAUCACACCCCUCUCCCUGAGGAACGUGGAGGUCUUUAGGGCAAAUUCCUUGUGCCCACAAGGACAACGCUCUCCAGCUGAGAGCAAGAAGCAAGUUCUCAAGGAGAUGACUGAGAGAAAGCCUGAGCAGCUGCAAACUUGCACCUCUGUUUUGGGCUGCAAGGCAGUAAAGGGGCAGUGCCCAAGCAGCGUAUUGCAGGGAAGCGGGAGCUGAAGAGGAGUUAUGAGGUUGUGAUUCUGAUGCAUCACUUGAGGGCUGUAUUUAAAAGAUGCUCUUCUGUAGUUUUGUAUAGAGGCAGAAAUUGAAUGCAUUUUCUAUUUGGAACCUAAGACAGUUAACAAAACUGGGAGACCCUUCAGAAGCCAUCUUUCAUGUGGAGUUAUGAUUUUCAUUUCAUGGAGCCUGUGCACAAAAUGAUAUGUGUUGUCAAUUACAGGAACAUUUGUUCACAGACUGUGGAGCUGCAUUUUUUAGUUGAAAAGUGAUUGUGAUAGUCAAUACUUGGCAGGUUACAUAUUCAGCUUUCUGCAUGAACACGAAUUACACCUUAGCUUCAUCUGUACAAUGUGGGCAAGCAAAUCCUAUUACUCCAUUUUGUGGAAGGUUUACAUCUGACAUAAAGUCUUCAUUCUCAGCUCAAUAACCAUGUGUCUGUGCUGCAGCCCUUACUAAUUAAUCUGUUUGCUCCUGAGAUGACUCCUGGCUCCUUGUGUGUUUGGGUCCCUGUGAGGCUGCAUUUGUGAGGGGAGGGCAUCAGCUGGGCCCUCAGCAUCCCCUUUUCUGGCCAGGGGAAGUCCUGUGGACCAGACCCACUGUCUGCAUCAGAACUUGCAGGCAGAACCACUCAUCUAAAUGAUGGAAAGUAUUUCUUGCUGAACUGGGGAUUUUUGAUGGAGCAUACUGUCUAUGCUUCUGGUUGUGUAUGCGUUAUGGAUGCGGGUACCCAACCGGAGCAGGCACAGAGAAGUGCCAUCUAAAGGGCACAGGGAAUAGAGAACCUGCUUUAAAAUAAGACUGCAAAUUUUUCAUUUUUAGAUUAAAAAAAUGCUA